This is a long non-coding RNA of Neopelma chrysocephalum (saffron-crested tyrant-manakin), 357 nucleotides long. RefSeq lists it as uncharacterized. NCBI's taxonomy places the organism in Eukaryota, Metazoa, Chordata, Aves, Passeriformes, Pipridae. The record is from RefSeq and is a predicted model, not a curated record. The transcript has 3 exons.
AGGUAAAUGAACUUUCUUUUGGAUUAUGUAGUGAGUGUCAUACGCCUAAAAUACUGCCAAGAGCUCAGCUGGAUUUCUAAACUAGGGCUCCAAAUAUCUGCUGAAGGGACAGAGAUUAUAGAUGAACUCACUUCUGCCUCACUUCUGUGGAAAGAAGAGAAUGACCAGCUGGUGAUGACAACCUAAUGAUUGGCUUGUUUAAUCAAGAAUUAUUUGUUCAUGUUUUUAUGCCAGGAGAGAUUGCAGAAGUCUUGGGAGUACCUUCCAUGCCCAAAGCUUUGGGAGCAUGAGGUGCCUGGCAGAUCCUACAAUACUGCUGGUAAAGUAUAAUACAUAAAAACACAGUACUCUCCACAA